UACGGAGGGUGCAAGCGUUAUCCGGAUUCACUGGGUUUAAAGGGUGCGUAGGUGGGCAGGUAAGUCAGUGGUGAAAUCUCCGGGCUUAACUCGGAAACUGCCGCUGAUACUAUCUGUCUUGAAUAUCGUGGAGGUUAGCGGAAUAUGUCAUGUAGCGGUGAAAUGCUUAGAUAUGACAUAGAACACCGAUUGCGAAGGCAGCUAACUACACGAUCAUUGACACUGAGGCACGAAAGCGUGGGGAGCAAACAGG
RNAcentral lists this ribosomal RNA (253 nucleotides) under uncultured bacterium. RNAcentral's name for it is "partial 16S ribosomal RNA". It matches the Rfam family "Bacterial small subunit ribosomal RNA", at positions 524 to 776 of the family's 1533-position model. The record is from RNAcentral.